RNAcentral lists this ribosomal RNA (450 nucleotides) under uncultured soil bacterium. Its description in RNAcentral is "bacterial SSU rRNA". It matches the Rfam family "Bacterial small subunit ribosomal RNA", at positions 26 to 494 of the family's 1533-position model. The record is from RNAcentral.
AGAUUGAACGCUGGCGGCAUGCCUAACACAUGCAAGUCGAACGGGAGUAGCAAUACUCUAGUGGCGGACGGGUGAGGAAUACGUAGGAAUUUGCCCUUAAGUGGGGGAUAACCCGGGGAAACCCGGAUUAAUACCGCAUGACCUCGAAAGAGCAAAGUGGGGGAUCGCAAGACCUCACGCUUUUUGGAGAAGCCUACGUCGGAUUAGCUAGUUGGUGAGGUAAUGGCUCACCAAGGCGACGAUCCGUAACUGGUCUGAGAGGAUGAUCAGUCACACCGGAACUGAGACACGGUCCGGACUCCUACGGGAGGCAGCAGUGGGGAAUAUUGGACAAUGGGCGCAAGCCUGAAUCCAGCAAUGCCGCGUGUGUGAAGAAGGCCUUCGGGUUAGUAAGGUACAACUUUAAGGUUAGGGAAAGAAAAAACGUACGACUACUUAACAACGAGUUAG